AUACGUAGGUGGCAAGCGUUGUCCGGAUUUACUGGGCGUAAAGGAUGCGUAGGCGGAUAUUUAAGUCAGAUGUGAAAAUCCCGGGCUUAACUUGGGAACUGCAUUUGAAACUGGGUAUCUAGAGUGUGGGAGAGGAAAGUGGAAUUCCUAGUGUAGCGGUGAAAUGCGUAGAGAUUAGGAGGAACACCAGUGGCGAAGGCGACUUUCUGGACUGUAACUGACGCUGAGGCACGAAAGCGUGGGGAGCGAACAGGAUUAGAUACCCUGGUAGUCCACGCCGUAAACGAUGGAUACUAGGUGUAGAGGGUAUCGACCCCCUCUGUGCCGGAGUUAACGCAAUAAGUAUCCCGCCUGGGGAGUACGGUCGCAAGGCUGAA
This 377-nucleotide ribosomal RNA is filed under the name uncultured bacterium. RNAcentral's name for it is "bacterial SSU rRNA". It matches the Rfam family "Bacterial small subunit ribosomal RNA", at positions 523 to 898 of the family's 1533-position model. The record is from RNAcentral.